GAGUUGUGAAAGCCCCCUUUGGUUGCAGACCUCUACACUGAGUUGAUUGAUUCUUACCCUAGGAUUGCUUACCCAUAUGAAACGUUCUGCAUUUCUUCUACACAGAUGGUGGAAGGAAGGAGGCAGCCCAUAUCAAAACUGGGAACACUGCGUUACUAACCAAGGCUACAGCUUAAGAUACUACAUGCAGGCUACUUGCUUGCAGAAGUCAGGAUGGAAAGGUACUAGAAGGGCAGCAGGAACAAAAAUGCAACCAGAGCUCCAGAUCAGAGCGGGCUGCAACACAACUUGAUACCCAGACUCGGCCUAGGGAGCAGAAAUAUGCACCUUCUCCAGCACCCACUGCUACGCAGUGGCUUCCAACCUUCUUUUGUUGGUGCUUCCCAAAAAGACUGGAGGAUGGGCAUUUCCUGUCUCCUCAGUCCGUCAUGACCCAGAACAGGUACCUCUCCAUCCCUUUUUAAUAUCCAUUCUCUCUCUCUCUUCCCUGAGCUGGGUGUUCUGAGAGUAGCUAGGCUCUGAGAGAAGAUAAGCCUAGGGUGGUACAUGGGCCUCUCAUGUACAGGGAAGCUGUGUCCAUGGCCAGAUACAUUGGGGGGGGGCUGGCACUGGAGCAGGGAGAGACUUUCCAGGAGAC
Molecule: long non-coding RNA, 637 nt
Organism: Chelonia mydas (Green sea turtle)
Lineage: Eukaryota; Metazoa; Chordata; Testudines; Cheloniidae
Exons: 3
Source: RefSeq, a predicted model, not a curated record